RNAcentral lists this ribosomal RNA (341 nucleotides) under uncultured Pseudomonadota bacterium. RNAcentral's name for it is "bacterial SSU rRNA". It matches the Rfam family "Bacterial small subunit ribosomal RNA", at positions 29 to 351 of the family's 1533-position model. The record is from RNAcentral. Lineage: Bacteria; Pseudomonadati; Pseudomonadota.
AACGAACGCUGGCGGCGUGCCUAACACAUGCAAGUCGCACGAGAAAUCCUGAGCAAUCGGGAGAGUAAAGUGGCGCACGGGUGAGUAACGCGUGGGUAACCUACCCUUAAAUUGGGGAUAACUCCGCGAAAGCGGGGUUAAUACCGAAUAAUAUUCCAAUGUCUUUGGGAGUUGGAAUCAAAGGUGGCCUCUGCAUGCAAGCUAUCAUUUAAGGAUGGGCCCGCGUACCAUUAGCUUGUUGGUAGGGUAAUGGCCUACCAAGGCAACGAUGGUUAGCUGGUCUGAGAGGAUGGCCAGCCACACUGGAACUGAGACACGGUCCAGACUCCUACGGGUGGCAG